GGUCGCAAUAGAAACUUCGAUGCAUAGGGAAUAGGACUGGCCAUUUUCCACGAAAAUAAAUCUCAGGUCCUAUGGAAAAGAUGAAACCAGUAGUAAACUGGAUCUAACUAAAGCUGCAACAAAGCCCAGAACCAUCUCAACUAUGGAUUGGAUUGACUGUCACUUCACACUCUCCACCCUGCACCAUCCCACAGUAGAGGCCUGACAGAGAAAGGAAUGUGCCCUUUCCUGGAGUUAACCUGCUCUGUGGACUGAAUUGCGUCUCCCCAUCUCCAAAUUCAUAUGUUGAAGACCUAACCCUCAAUGUGAUAGUAUUUAAAGACAGGACUUUUAAAGAGGUAAUUAAGGUUAAAUGAAGUCUUAAGUGUGGGGCUCUAAUUUGGUAGGACUGGUGUCCCUAUAAGAAGAAAAAGGGAAACUAGGGGCUUUUGCACAUAGAAGAGGCCACAGAGAGAAGAUGGCCAUAUGCUCACCAAGGAACGGAGCCUCAGGAAUUACUAGCCCUGCUCACAACUUCAUCUUGGAUUUUCGGCUUUCCCAACUAUGAGACAAUAAAAUUCUGUUGUUUAAGCCAAAGCAGGGCAAACAACCACAGCCUCCUCCACUCAAAAGGACAGAUACUGAUUGCUUCAUAUUUCCCAUAAGCCAAUAACAUUCCAAUCAUCCAUCAUAUCAAGUUCAAAAUAUUUCUAUGGAAAGAAACCGAUUCUGUGGACAUUUAAAUGUCUGAUCUUGUGUAGCAUAUGCUAGGAUAUAAAUACAUUUACUGAAUGAAUGGUUGGUACUAAAUACUGUAAUGUCUGAAAAUCUCGGUGUGAUUAAAAUGUUUCCUUUUUCUCUUUAAUGACAAACACUGAAUGGAU
Cercocebus atys (sooty mangabey) is the source of this 863-nucleotide long non-coding RNA. RefSeq lists it as uncharacterized. NCBI's taxonomy places the organism in Eukaryota, Metazoa, Chordata, Mammalia, Primates, Cercopithecidae. The transcript has 3 exons. The record is from RefSeq and is a predicted model, not a curated record.